CCCAGCUCUUCAUGCUAGAGCACUUUUUUAAUGGGCUCCCCAACGGCAAGGAGACAACACAUUCGUAUGUCAUCCAUAGCAACUUUCGAUGCAAUUUACUGUGCCUACCAUGGUGACCACGGGUAACAGGAAAUUAGGGUUCGAUUCCGGAGAGGGAGCCUGAGAAACGGCUACCACAUGCAAGGAAGGCAGCAGGCACGCAAAUAACCCACUCCCGACGUGGGAAGGUAGUGACG
This 236-nucleotide ribosomal RNA is filed under the name Pelobates cultripes (western spadefoot toad). RNAcentral describes it as "SSU_rRNA_microsporidia". It matches the Rfam family "Eukaryotic small subunit ribosomal RNA", at positions 238 to 472 of the family's 1831-position model. Lineage: Eukaryota; Metazoa; Chordata; Amphibia; Anura; Pelobatidae. The record is from RNAcentral.